UACGGAGGGUGCAAACGUUGCUCGGAAUCAUUGGGCGUAAAGCGCACGUAGGCGGCCGACUAAGUCGGGUGUGAAAGCCCCGGGCUCAACCCGGGAAGUGCACUCGAAACUGGCCGGCUUGAAUAUGGAAGAGGGUCGCGGAAUUCCCGGUGUAGAGGUGAAAUUCGUAGAUAUCGGGAGGAACACCAGUGGCGAAGGCGGCGACCUGGGCCAAUAUUGACGCUGAGGUGCGAAAGCGUGGGGAGCAAACAGG
RNAcentral lists this ribosomal RNA (253 nucleotides) under uncultured prokaryote. RNAcentral's name for it is "partial 16S ribosomal RNA". It matches the Rfam family "Bacterial small subunit ribosomal RNA", at positions 524 to 776 of the family's 1533-position model. The record is from RNAcentral.